This 67-nucleotide ribosomal RNA is filed under the name Nephroselmis pyriformis. RNAcentral describes it as "partial 5.8S ribosomal RNA". The record is from RNAcentral. Lineage: Eukaryota; Viridiplantae; Chlorophyta; Nephroselmidophyceae; Nephroselmidales; Nephroselmidaceae.
AAUCAUCGAAUCUUUAAACGCAUUUUGCGCCCGAGCCCUCGGCCGAGGGCAUGUCUGCCUGAGCGUC